Cololabis saira (Pacific saury) is the source of this 132-nucleotide small nucleolar RNA. RefSeq annotates it as small nucleolar RNA SNORA9. Lineage: Eukaryota; Metazoa; Chordata; Actinopteri; Beloniformes; Belonidae. The record is from RefSeq and is a predicted model, not a curated record. The transcript has a single exon.
CUGCAGAGCUCCAGCGAGGCCCAGCCUGCCGUGGCUCCGCCCUUUCCUGACGCUUCUGCUAUAGAGACGGGGGCCGUUUGAGGCCCCGCUGUGGCCCUUCACCACGGGGUUAUAGGUUGGCCCCCGACAAGA